RNAcentral lists this ribosomal RNA (253 nucleotides) under uncultured bacterium. Its description in RNAcentral is "partial 16S ribosomal RNA". It matches the Rfam family "Bacterial small subunit ribosomal RNA", at positions 524 to 776 of the family's 1533-position model. The record is from RNAcentral.
UACGGAGGGUGCGAGCGUUGUCCGGAAUCACUGGGCGUAAAGGGCGCGUAGGCGGCGCGAGCAGUCGAUCGUGAAAGUCCGGAGCUCAACUCCGGAUCAGCGGUCGAUACUCUCGUGCUUGAGCACUGUAGAGGCAGAUGGAAUUCCGGGUGUAGCGGUGGAAUGCGUAGAGAUCCGGAAGAACACCGGUGGCGAAGGCGGUCUGCUGGGCAGUUGCUGACGCUGAUGCGCGACAGCGUGGGGAGCAAACAGG